RNAcentral lists this ribosomal RNA (558 nucleotides) under uncultured bacterium. RNAcentral describes it as "bacterial SSU rRNA". It matches the Rfam family "Bacterial small subunit ribosomal RNA", at positions 355 to 896 of the family's 1533-position model. The record is from RNAcentral.
UGGGGAAUCUUCCGCAAUGGACGAAAGUCUGACGGAGCAACGCCGCGUGAGUGAUGACGGCCUUCGGGUUGUAAAGCUCUGUUAAUCGGGACGAAAGGCCUUCUUGCGAAUAGUGAGAAGGAUUGACGGUACCGGAAUAGAAAGCCACGGCUAACUACGUGCCAGCAGCCGCGGUAAUACGUAGGUGGCAAGCGUUGUCCGGAAUUAUUGGGCGUAAAGCGCGCGCAAGCGGAUAGGUCAGUCUGUCUUAAAAGUUCGGGGCUUAACCCCGUGAUGGGAUGGAAACUGCCAAUCUAGAGUAUCGGAGAGGAAAGUGGAAUUCCUAGUGUAGCGGUGAAAUGCGUAGAUAUUAGGAAGAACACCAGUGGCGAAGGCGACUUUCUGGACGAAAACUGACGCUGAGGCGCGAAAGCCAGGGGAGCGGACGGGAUUAGAUACCCCGGUAGGUCCUGGCCGUAAAACGAUGGGUACUAGGUGUAGGAGGUAUCGACCCCCUUCUGGUGCCGGAGUUAACGCAAUAAGUUACCCCGCCUGGGGGAGUACGACCCGCAAGGGUUG